Molecule: ribosomal RNA, 700 nt
Filed under: uncultured bacterium
Lineage: Bacteria
Description: bacterial SSU rRNA
Rfam family: Bacterial small subunit ribosomal RNA
Source: RNAcentral
AGAGUUUGAUCAUGGCUCAGAAUCAACGCUGGCGGCGUGCCUAAUACAUGCAAGUCGUACGCGAAGACCCCGCAAGGGGUUGUUAGCGUGGCAAACGGGUGAGUAACGCGUGGGCGACCUGCCUUCGAGUGGGGGAUAACCUUCCGAAAGGAGGGCUAAUACCGCAUGACAUACCGCGCUUGGAUGCGCGGAUAUCAAAGCCGGGGAUCGCAAGACCUGGCGCUUGAAGAGGGGCCUACGUCCGAUUAGCUAGUUGGUGGGGUAACGGCUCACCAAGGCGACGAUCGGUAUCCGGCCUGAGAGGGCGGACGGACACACUGGAACUGAGACACGGUCCAGACUCCUACGGGAGGCAGCAGUAGGGAAUUGUUCGCAAUGGGCGCAAGCCUGACGACGCAACGCCGCGUGGAGGAUGAAGGGCUUCGGCUCGUAAACUCCUUUCGACCGAGAUGAAUACCUGCAGGGCUAACAUCUCUGCAGGCUGACAGUAUCGAGGGAAGAAGCCCCGGCUAACUCCGUGCCAGCAGCCGCGGUAAUACGGGGGGGGCAAGCGUUGUUCGGAAUUACUGGGCGUAAAGGGUUCGUAGGUGGUCAACUAAGUCAUACGUGAAAUCCCUCAGCUUAACUGAGGAACUGCGUCUGAUACUGGUUGACUUGAGUGCAGGAGAGGAACGCGGAAUUCCAGGUGUAGCGGUGAAAU